UUCUCGAAUUUAAAAGAGUUAAUUAAUUAAAAAAUUUAUUGUAGCAAAAAUAUUUUUCAUAAUUAAUUAGAAAUGAAAUGUUAAUCGUUUUUAAAUAUAUCUAGUUUUUUUAGAAAAAAAUUUAAUUUUAAAUUAAAUUAAUUAAAAAAUUAAUUAAAAAAUUUUUUAAAAUUUAAAUUUAAUAUUUUAAGGGAUAAGCUUUAAUUUAAAAUAUUUAUAAUUAAAUAUUAAAUUUUUUGAAAAUUUUAAAAUUUAUAUUGUUUAAAAAUUAUAAUUUUUUAUAAAUAAUUUCAUAAAAAAUAAAAUUUAAUUUUAAUUUAAUUUUUUAUAGAAAAAUAAAAUUUAAAAAAAUAAUUUUAGUUAUAAUGAUAAAAUUAGUAUAUAAAUUUUAUUUAAUUAAUAUUAUAAAAUAUUUUUAAAUGAAAAAUUAAUUAUAAGGAAUUCGGCAAAAAUUUAUAUUCACUUGUUUAUCAAAAACAUGUCUUUUUGAAAUAAUUUAAAGUCUAAUCUGCCCACUGAUGAAAAUUGAAGGGCUGCAGUAUUUUGACUGUACAAAGGUAGCAUAAUCAUUAGUCUCUUAAUUGGUGACUUGUAUGAAAGAUUGGAUGAGAUAUAAGCUGUCUUAUUUUUAUUUAUAGAAUUUAAUUUUUU
This 651-nucleotide ribosomal RNA is filed under the name Grapholita molesta (oriental fruit moth). RNAcentral describes it as "partial 16S ribosomal RNA". Lineage: Eukaryota; Metazoa; Arthropoda; Insecta; Lepidoptera; Tortricidae. The record is from RNAcentral.